CAGUAGCCGCGGGAAUACAGAGGGUGCGAGCGUUAAUCGGAUUUACUGGGCGUAAAGCGUGCGUAGGCGGCUUCUUAAGUCGGAUGUGAAAUCCCUGAGCUUAACUUAGGAAUUGCAUUCGAUACUGGGAAGCUAGAGUAUGGGAGAGGAUGGUAGAAUUCCAGGUGUAGCGGUGAAAUGCGUAGAGAUCUGGAGGAAUACCGAUGGCUAAGGCAGCCAUCUGGCCUAAUACUGACGCUGAGGUACGAAAGCAUGGGGAGCAAACAGGAUUAGAGACCCCUGUAGUCCCUGUCUCUUAUAC
Molecule: ribosomal RNA, 301 nt
Filed under: uncultured bacterium
Lineage: Bacteria
Description: partial 16S ribosomal RNA
Rfam family: Bacterial small subunit ribosomal RNA
Source: RNAcentral